This is a long non-coding RNA of Pan troglodytes (chimpanzee), 9165 nucleotides long. RefSeq lists it as uncharacterized. The record is from RefSeq and is a predicted model, not a curated record. NCBI's taxonomy places the organism in Eukaryota, Metazoa, Chordata, Mammalia, Primates, Hominidae. The transcript is spliced from 2 exons.
UCUGCAGAAAUAAAAAAAUGUAUUUUUCAAAAUUAAAAAAAUCCAUGCUUUCAACUUGCCGACAUUGGGGACUUUUGAGAGGGCUGUGGAACCUUCUGCUGGGUGCUUCUCAGUACCUCCAAAAAUCUGCCACUUUUAUUUAGGGCCUGUGAAUGGCUUUGGAAACUAGCAGUGACCGGAGACACACAUAAGGUGCAAUUCUGCAGUAUUCACACAACUCAUUCCAAACGGUAUUUUCUCUGUCCCAGGGAUGAUAUACAUUUUAAUUGAAGACAGAAUCUCUCUUUUCUCUACUCAGCCAGGCCCUUUUAUGCAGCCAAUAUCCUUGACAUUCUGCUACUUAAUUAUGGUAAUUAAUUUAGGUAAAGUUUUCGAUAAAAACAAUGUUCACACUGAUUUGACAAUUUGCAUAGCUAAUUAAGUCAUUAGCAAAAACCUGCUGAUUGCCAACAAGCCUUGAAUUUACCAUCUGUUAUUUCAUGGUGCCUGUCACCUAUCACCACACAGGCAACCCUGCCACCCAUCUGGGCAGUAAAGAGAACCGGUCUGUCCAGCUGGUGCCAUAAAGGGAAGAUGAAGAACGCUAAUUGUAAUUACAUUGAUGAAGCUGGUAGUCAUCAGAGAUGGAAGCGUGCAAGAAGAAUCCAUCUAAUCACUCUUUUAAGUACAAAUUGUCCUUCCAUGCAAAUAAGUAAGCCACCUACUGUAGCUGGGAGCAUGGGGAGGCCACAGCUGGAGAGGCCAGGGAUGGGGAAGAAGAAUGCACACACAGGGCAGAGCUCCAGCUUCUUUGUUCAAAGGGGACCAUAUGGGGUUGAUGAGUGACCUUGGCAUGGGACAGGACAUCUGUCAGGUGGAUUCUUCUGGGCAGGCUCUGAGCAAUACUCCACUUAAAAGUGCAGUAACUUCAGGAAAGUGACCAACUGUGAUCAGCCUCCACUGAGGCCAGAGAAAGUAGGGCUAGCCAGAUGCUUUUGGAGAUGAGAGGGUGGGGUUUCCAGUAGAAAGGCUAAUUCAAUAAAAUAUUUUUGACAACUGGGCAGAAAUUCAUUUUACUAGAGCUUUGCCCAGAGAAGGCUUUCCUGGGACAGUAGAAUGGAAUACUGCCUACUGUCAGGAGAAGGACCAGUGGGAUUUUGAAAGUGUCCAUUGAACAAAUCCCUUAGUUACCCCCUAGUCUUUUACAAUGGAAAACCUUGUUUUAUUUAUUUCUGCUCCCCACCAUUCUUGAGUUAGGGGAGAUAAUUAAUAGGUUUCCAAACUAUGUUUUCUGACUAAUCAUUCUUGUGAAUAGAUAAAAAUGAUUUUAAAAAGAAAUGUCCCAAAUGGAGUAAGUGCCUAAAAUGUGAGCUUGGUAAACCCAGCAAUAAAAAUGCCAGGGGAUAUUCAGCUCUGUGCUUCCAAGAUUUAUUUAUUUAUUAUGCAAUGAAGAACCAGAAAUGACAGUGACAUGGAAUGAGACUCAUGAAGACUGUUAAGGUGAGAUGCAAAGUAGAUACCGUCCUUCUGACUGGCAGAAAGGAUGACAGGAUUUUAGAUGGAGUGUGGCCACCGCAGAGGCAUGAAUGGUAUUCAGUUAGCUGGGCAGCUGCAAUGUUACCUGUUGGGGGAUGUUCAGGAUAAAAGAGUGCCACUGAGUUAUAGGCAAUUAGGAGAUGACACUUAUGAUCAAGAACAAAGGGAGAUGGAAAGAAUAGGGCUAGGUUGUACAGAGCAUGACCUGAGGGUUAAUCUCAUUUCAUGACUUGUGUCCAGCACACUUGAAGGGCUUGGAAAACACAUGCAUAAGGCGUCGCAGGGCAGGAGAAGGAUGUUAACCAACCAAGUGGGUCUGCAUUAGUAUCGUGACUCCAAAGUCAUUGAGAGAGGAUGGGAGGUAUGAGGAAGCAUAAUUUGAAAGAGGAGGAGGAAAAUAAAAAGCAGCCAACUUAAGCAUGAUAUUAAAAGAAAAGCCCUCAACACUCCAAAUGCAUUCAUUGAAUUAGAAAACAACAAUCAUUCAAGAAAAGUACUAUGAACAUAGUGGUUUGAAUCAUUUCCAAUGGAGCCCACAGGCUUGUAAUCUGUUCGGUGAAUCUUUGUUCUAGGAGCAGCUGGAAAAGAUGUCUAGGCAUAGGUGUUUUUAAAUGUACUAAAUUUCAAAGGGAUGCCACAUAUGUUUUACUAAUUAUAUAAAAUAUCCCUAGCUAGAUACUUACUUAGUUGUGUGUGUGUGAGAGAGAGAAAGAGAGAGCGUGUGUGUGUGUGUGUGUGUAUGUGUUUGUGUGCGUGCGUAAUUGACAAAUGGCAAGUUAAGGGCUUCAUAUGCACACAGACAGUUAAGGCCACUUAAAAAUUUAUGCGCAUAUUUCUACUGGUUCUUCUAAGCCUCUAGACUAGGAUAGUGAUUAUCUGCUCUGGCAGUCUUGAUUUGUUAUUCUCACACAAAAUAAAUAAAGCAUGAUGCACAUUCUAGGCUGCCUCUGAUUAGGGGUUGUUAGCAACAUUUCCCCCCCAUUUUGUUAAAAAUCCCCCCAACAUUGGCAGUGAGAGUACAUUUCCUUCCCAUCUCUAUCCUGUGUGUCCACGAGAGACAACAGCGAGCCAUCUGAGAGAGGUCCAUAUGCCCUCAGCUCCCCACAAGGCCAACUUCUGCUCCUCGCUGGAAGCCCGGAGGUGCCACCAGCUCUCACCCAUUUCACAUCUUCUCACUAAUCCCCCGUGCAAAGACCACCAACCUCUGAGGAGGACUGGAAGUGACUCCUUUCAGGGCCCCUCAAUGCUUCUCCUUAAAUUGGCCAGAAGGGGUCACUGCUGUUGAAUGACACAGGUCUCCAUCCCUCCCAGGGUUGAGGCUGCAGUUCGGGAUCGCUCCUAGCCCCUGCUCAUGGAGUGAGAAGCAGAAUCCAAGGAUUAAACCCUAGCCCUCGCCAGACACACACAUCGCUGCCGCAGCAGCUACACAGACCACAGCUGUGGUCAUAGUGGCACAUGCCUUUGGACCAGACAGUGGAUGCCUGCAGGUAGCAUCUCUAGUUAACCAGUAGAAUAGUGUUGAUAACUCAGUAGACAGGGUUAAAAGAUAUGGUCACCACAAGUCAUCCAACGCUUAUCAUUUAAUGUCCAUUCAACUCCAGGACACAUAUGAAUUUGUACAUUCUCCUAAGCUGGUUGUUCUUUCUGCCUCUCUGUGACAUCUGACAAUUUUACUUUAUUAAAACAUCUUUAACUGCAUAGUGUGGAGAUAGUGAUGAAAUCCAACUCUCAUUUCCUAACGGUGCCUUGCUCUUAAUCACACAAAAUGCAAAGGGUCUCUACUUGUUAUAAACCCUCUGGAUACAGGUAACCUCCAGUAAAAUACAGUUGUUGAUUUGGAAGACAGGAGCGUAACAGAGUACAGAAGCUAUAUCCUCUUUCAAAUGAAAUUGAAAUGAUUCUGACUAGACCAUAUGUGUCAAAACAUAUGACACAUAAGCUGCUACUCUCAACUUCUACAACCAUGUCAGACAUCACUAAUGGAUGGCCCACCAAACCCAGACUAGACCUUAGAAUCCUCCUCAAUACCAUACUCUGAGGGCUGGCAGGAGAGAGAAAAUGUCCUUGCCAUCCCUAGAUUAGACAGUGAGCUCUUCAAUGACAGGGCUUUGUUGUUGUUAUUGUUUUUCACCUUGGUAUUGCUGGUACCUGGCGCAGUGUGGGCACAUAGUAGGAGCUCAGAAAACAUCUGUUGAACUGAUUGGGAUUCUUGCAGCUACAGUGCCUUUAAGUAGCUAUGUCACCGUUUCAGAAUCCUCUGAGAUGCACUUUUUUUAUUUGCUAGAGGAAACUAACGAAUGUUACUGCCUUUAACUCCAGGAUUGGAUAAAGAAAUGGGCUCCUGUGUAUACUUUCUCAGUUGAUUUAUCUAAAUCAGGCCAUUUUCUCUAUUCAAAAUUUCACCAGGAGUGGGCAUAACUCGAUACUUUUUUAAUAAAGAGACUCUUUAUUUUCCUCUUUUGGCUUUUCCCCCCUGAUCUUCAGAGGUAAUAGGUAUAAAGCCUAGCUCAGAAAGUGGAGGACCACCUGGAGACUGUUUUCAUUAUUUGAAGACUGCAAUUUGUAACCUUGUAAAAUGUAACAUGGCACCUUCCAUUUUAGGCUGGUCAUUCUCCCCAUGACCCCUUCUUUCUAAUGCAGUGGGAAUGAAAAGUAUACCCCCUGUCUGUGGGAGACAGGAGAAGAGAAACAAUGGCCCAAGGAAUCCUCAGGGUACUGAUGGGGUUGGUUUUGGCCAAAGAGAACUGACCAGUGGAAAGUAGAUACAAGUAGGUGGGGGCAGAUUUGAAAGACACACUUGGAAGUAAGUGGGGAAUCCCUGUGCGAAGGUCCACUCGCACAUGGAAGCGAUGGAGCAGGAUCAGAAAAAUAAGGGUAAGGAUGAGAGCAAGAAGGGUGAGGGGGAAAAACGUGGGAAAGACGGAAAAGGUAAAAUUGUACUGGUUGAGGGAUGUAACAAGAAAUAGGGCAACUUUGGAAAACAGAGUAUCUAAAAGGUAUCCAUGAAGCACUAAGAAAAUCUCAGGAUUUGAAUGAUGGCCAAACACCUGGUGAUAGGGUGGUAUGACAGGGACAGCAGAGAAGGAACAGAAGCACUUUAAAGGAGCAAAGGACUUAAAGGAGAUAGUCUAAUAAGGGGCUGGGGAGUUAGGAGAUGGGAGGGAAUUAGGCAGAAGGGACAGAAUUCAAGAAGAAUGAAUAAAAGAUGAAGAAAGUUCCUGUGCAGUUUUCACUAUAUGGGAUUACCCUCAGCUGUCAGCUUUGGAAUUCAAAGAAGUCCCCUUCCUAAUGGUCUUUGUCAAGAUAAAGAAAUGAAAGAAAGGGGCCAAGGGUUCGAGAGAGUUGAGACCAAACCAGAGGCUGAUCCUCCCCCUUAGCUAAUGAAAUGGGCUAAGCGAGAGCUUCACUGAGCUACAUUUUUAGUGGCUGCUGGUUAAUUACCUGAGUCUUAAAAUAAGAGGGGACGCCCAUGUUGGGAAGGCCCAGUCAAAUUACAAUAUGGGACUGAGCCGCUGGGAGCUAGUUUCCAGUGGAGCACAGGGUCUCCAAUGAUGGUGCUGAGAGGCCUUAAUAUGCCACCAGGCAUGCUGCUAAGUGAUAUUUUAAUUAAACCUUAAGUGACAUAUCUCCUGUCUGUGACUCUGAUGGCUUUUUAAUUCAGGUCCUAUUGCAGCACGACUCUUAAUAUUCCUUUCUAAUUCCCAGUUUGCAGGGGAAGGUUUCCAUGGCAGAGUUCCUCCCUCCCAUCCCAACCUCUGUCCCUGUCUUUUAUCCCUCCCCCACCUCCAACCUGCCCAGGAUUUUUUUUUUUUUUCUAAUGAAAAGAGACUUUAAUUUGGGCCCUUUGAGUAGGAAGCAGACAGUUAGGAUUUCGGGCCUAAGAGGAAAGCGAGACUUACAGGUACCUGACUGGACAGACUCAGGUUUGCAGCUGUGGUCUUCUUCUUGCUGCCAGUGCUGUUUGCGUUGUUCCCAGCGCUGCUGUUGGAAGUGCUGCUGGUGGAAUUUUUCCUUUUUCUCCGUUUGGUUGUUGGUUGCCUUGUGGGUUCUGCUGCAAUAUGGAAAAGGGAAGAGGGAUCAGUUCUAGGGCAGAAGCAACAAGGCAAUCAUCAGUAUGGUUACUCUAAGGAAGCUGUCUUGGUAAACUGAAGAGUAGACUAUUUAAACAUUUUCCAUUUCUUAUAGCUUUAGAAAGAAUAAAAGGAGAAAACUGUAGAUGUGUUUUUAGCACAAAAUAUGUGACACUCUUUUCUUUGUGUGUAGAUCAAAUAAUUUUUAUUUAAUCGUUCUCCCUAAUGAUAUGUAUUUAAUUUUGUAAAAAUAUUUUUUAGGUGUGUAACUACAAGUACCACUUUCAUAAUUGGAUUUAAAAUAUUUUACCAUUAGAAAAUUUGGGAAACUUUUUUCCUCUGGUGUAUCUUCUCUUUAAAACAAAGAGAGGACUCCUGGGAUCCCUAGGGUACCUCCAAGGUACGAGUGAAGUAUGAACUUUAAAUAGCCAAAUUCAUGAGCCAGUGUGCAACAGCAGCAUCUACUGGUGAAAUGUCAUAUUGCAACCCACCUCUAUUAUACCUUUAUAAAAUUCUCAAGUAAAGUUAGUUCCAUCAGCUGUGGAUGUGGAGCUUAGGGAUUCCCAAGUUCAGAAGGAAUACCCAUGGUUUGGGCCCUGCUGUUUAAUAAAUGCUACUAAUUCCAAAAUUGCUAGAAAAAAAUAUGUCUGAGUACAUGGUAUAGCCAGCAUAUUACUGAGGGGAAACUAGACCUCUUAAAGAAAGGCGUAUUCAGAAACAGAGAAAAAUAUUUUGGACUUGAAGGAUGGGGCAACCCUUUAAUGGAAAUAUAGAGACCCAAGGUAAAGUGUGAUAGGAGAAAUAGUCUUUAUUUAUUUGUUUGUUUACUUAUAAGGUAUAGAACAUUAUGUAAUACUUGUCACUAUUCUUAAUGUUUCCAAUGCACUAUUUUAUAUUCAAAAAAUCCUAUUAGUUAGGAACUAUUAUUGUAAUCUUUGUUUCAUAAAUGAGAAAGUUUCAGAAGCCUUCUCCUGCCAGUUACUGAAUAAGUUGGAAAUGGCAAGUAAGAGCAUCCUUUUUGCCAGCUCUAUUUUAGACCUGACUGUGAUGGAGAGAAGGCAACUCAGGGCUACACUGGAACCAAAUAAGAGGGCCUUGUAACAUUUUCUUAAAAUACCUAUGCUGGCCGGGUGCCAUGGCUCAUGGCAAUAAUCCUAGCAUUUUGGGAGGAUGAGGCAAGUGGAUUGUUUGAGCCCAGGAAUUCGAGACCAACUUGGGCAACAUGGUGAACCCCAUCUGUACAAAAUAUACACAGAUUAGCCAGGUGUGGUGAUACGCACCAGGGGUCCCAGAUACUCUUGAGGCUGAGGUGUGAGAAUCACCUGAGCCCGGAAGUCGAGGCUGCAGUAAGCUAUGAUUGUGCCACUGCAGUCCAGCCUGGGUGACAGAGCAAGACCAUGUCUCAAAAACAAAGCAAAGCAAGACAAAAUCACACCAAAAAAACACCUAUGCCACUUCUGGUGGACAAUGGGAAGGAUCUUCCUCUAAGGCUUAUUUCAAAGACCACUUAGUCCAAUGAGUAUCCCUGACUUCUUUUUGACUUUUCUACUCAUCUACUAUUUUUUUAUCCUCCCUAAAUAUUUUGUCUCUUAUGCUUAAAGAUUUUCAUCAAAUGGUCUAUCAUUUCCUUCCAUCGAGUUCAGGGUGCGUGUUCUGAAGGAUGAGAGGAAUAGGAUAUAGAACUGUUCCAGGUCAUGGAGUUGAAUAAAGGGUUGAGGAGGACAUUCUAAAGUCCAGCAGAUACUCAGGCCCACUCCUGACAAGUAUCUUCUUUCUUUGACCUUAAGAGUAUAAAUUUGGUGCUCUUUUUAUUUGUACUUUGACCAUGAAAUUGGGGCAAGUGUACCUAAAAUCCAUAUUCUGGACUAUUCCCAUUACCAGUAGGUGGCUGUGUGGUAGUAAAAUAAUGGACUUUGGAGACAUAAAAACCUUUUGGUGACACAGUCCUCCUUCAUUUGUUAGCCAUGAGACUGGCUGUGUCAAAUUACUACCCUAAGUCUCAGAGUGCACUAUAUAAAAUGGAGAUAAUACAUUUAAAAUUAUGGUAAGGAUUCAAUAUUUUUGCAUGUUUUAUUCAGUUUUGUAACUCCCAGUGGCUAGAACCACGUCUGGAGCCUAAUAAAACUCAAUAAAUAAUUAUUGAAUGAAUGAAGGAAUUAAUGAAUAAUGUAUCAAUUAUAUAUGCCUAUGUUAGAAAAUAUAGCAUUUGUUGAGUGGAUUACGUUUUCUCCAUAAAGUCUUAUUAGCAUUAAAAGAAAAAAUAAAGCCAAUUUAAGCACAUUUAAUAUAUUUGAAAAAUAAUAUUCCAAAAGUCUAAAAUUCCCAUAAGAUGGGGAUGUAACUAUUCUACAUAAAAUAACACUUAUUUUCUCAGCUUUCUAAAUAUGUACUUGAUUAAAUUUGCUAUAUUCAUUUUACAUAAAACCCCUGGCCAAUUACCAGCCGAAGGUGACCAUUAUAUUUUGUGAUUCAGAAAGCUAUGUGCCUUGUGUUAAUAAUUACUUUUUAUAAAAAUAAUUUUUAGCGAAUGGCUACAUUUUGCUUUUAUGAUGAAUGAGGCUCAACACACGCCUGGGAGUGAAAGUAUAUUAGAUAGGAAGACAAUUAAUGAUGACUUGAAUCGGUAAUUUCAGAACCCCAGCAGGAGACUAUAGUAUCUAAACUGCAUUCUAGGGAAGUGAGGGAAAUGGAAUUGCUUAUAUAUUCUCUUCAUGAUCAGAACUUUUGAUACAAUAUAUCUUUAAAAACAGAGCAAACUUCAUUUUUCCUUCAUCGUUUCCUCCUUUCUUCCUUCAUUCAUCUGUUCCUUUCUUCCUUCCUUCUUUCCAUCCCUUCUUUUUUCUCCUUUCCUUCUUCCUUAUCUUCCCUUUCUUCCUUCCUUUUCAUAAUGUCUGUCAUUCUUAAAAAACAAAAACCUAAAACAUUAGGCCGUGAGAAGCCAGCAGUCUGGCUCAGUGGAAGAACCACUAGAUUGGAAGACAGGAACCCCUGGCUCUGAUCUCAGCUUUGCCAAUGACCUUCUUGAUGACCUUGAACAUGUUAUUUUACCUCUCUGAGUUGCAGGUCCUAAUCUGGUAAGUGAGGAGACUGUAGAUAAUUCUUAAGGAUGUUUGCCUGUCACAAAUUCAUUGUCUUUAUGUCCACAACCAUGGUCAGAAUAUCCCUAAUAAGCUACUUGUCCUGAUACAUUAAUGAUCACUUUCUUCUUUUUCACAUCACUUCAUCCCUGGAAGACACCUCUGAAAACGUGUUUAGAGAGAGAGUGAAGAAUGAGGGUGUACCUGGUGGAGCCACCAUCCUCUGCCACUUCUGAAACAAGCAGGUCUUCAGGCAGUCUCGGGGACUGAGGUUGUAAGUUUUAUGUCUCGACAUCAGUUCCUGCAUUGGCUCCAAUAUUACACACAACUGCAAGAAGUUCAAAGACAUUGGCAUUUCACUACUUUAUAACACUAAUAAUUACAAUAAAUAAUGCUAACAGCUGGAAUCAAGUAGACAGCUUUGAGAAUACUUUUAUUUUCCUGGUUUUGAUUUUCUUUAUAUAAAUGUGAGGAAAAAUAAAUAUUGCAAAAACUUGAUUAUA